RNAcentral lists this ribosomal RNA (466 nucleotides) under uncultured bacterium. RNAcentral describes it as "partial 16S ribosomal RNA". It matches the Rfam family "Bacterial small subunit ribosomal RNA", at positions 28 to 507 of the family's 1533-position model. The record is from RNAcentral.
GAUGAACGCUGGCGGCGUGCUUAACACAUGCAAGUCGAACGAUGAAGCCCAGCUUGCUGGGUGGAUUAGUGGCGAACGGGUGAGUAACACGUGAGUAACCUGCCCUUCACUCUGGGAUAAGCCUGGGAAACUGGGUCUAAUAACGGAUAGGAGCGUCCACCGCACGGAGGGUGUUGGAAAGAUUUAUCGGUUUUGGAUGGACUCGCGGCCUAUCAGCUUGUUGGUGAGGUAUUGGCUCACCAAGGCGUCGACGGGUAGCCGGCCUGGGAGGGUGACCGGCCACACUGGGACUGAGACACGGCCCAGACUCCUACGGGAGGCAGAAGUGGGGAAUAUUGCACAAUGGGCGCAAGCCUGAUGCAGCGGCGCCGCGUGAGGGAUGACGGCCUUCGGGUUGUAAACCUCUUUCAGUAGGGAAGAAGCGAAAGUGACGGUACCUGCAGAAGAAGCACCGGCUAACUACGUG